AUCAGCAGCCAUAUCACCCUGCAGCCCAAGACUGGUUGCCCACUGAAGCUAAGCAGGGUUGAGCUGGUCAGUACCUGGAUGGGAGACCUCCUGGGAAAACUAGGUUGCUACUGGAA
Sinocyclocheilus grahami is the source of this 116-nucleotide ribosomal RNA. The record is from Ensembl. Lineage: Eukaryota; Metazoa; Chordata; Actinopteri; Cypriniformes; Cyprinidae.